GUAUAGUAGUGCGUGUGCACAACAGUAAUUUCAUUACAUUCGAGUGUGUGUAAAAAUCCUCUGCUGGCCGAAGCUAGCAAGAGGCCAAAGGUGCACAGGGUAUUGGAUGAAAGUCACCAACGUGCACUUGCCGAAGCCGGCCAGCACUGAAGGCAACGAUUCGCAAUCAGUAAUGAUCCUUCCGCAGGUUCACCUACGGAAA
This 202-nucleotide unclassified non-coding RNA is filed under the name uncultured fungus. RNAcentral describes it as "sequence contains ITS1". Lineage: Eukaryota; Fungi. The record is from RNAcentral.